This 67-nucleotide transfer RNA is filed under the name Diadromus collaris. Its description in RNAcentral is "tRNA-Tyr". Lineage: Eukaryota; Metazoa; Arthropoda; Insecta; Hymenoptera; Ichneumonidae. The record is from RNAcentral.
AGUAAUGUGUCUGAUUUAAGAAAUAAAUUGUAAAUUUAUAUAAAAGAAAAAUUAUUCUUCUUUACUA